AGAGUUUGAUCAUGGCUCAGGAUGAACGCUGGCGGCGUGCUUAACACAUGCAAGUCGAACGGACUCAUAUUGAAACCUAGUGAUGUAUGAGUUAGUGGCGGACGGGUGAGUAACGCGUGGAAAACCUGCCGUAUACUGGGGGAUAACACUUAGAAAUAGGUGCUAAUACCGCAUAAGCGCACAGCUUCGCAUGAAGCGGUGUGAAAAACUCCGGUGGUAUACGAUGGUUCCGCGUCUGAUUAGCUAGUUGGCGGGGUAACGGCCCACCAAGGCGACGAUCAGUAGCCGGCCUGAGAGGGUGAACGGCCACAUUGGGACUGAGACACGGCCCAAACUCCUACGGGAGGCAGCAGUGGGGAAUAUUGCACAAUGGGGGAAACCCUGAUGCAGCGACGCCGCGUGAGUGAAGAAGUAUCUCGGUACGUAAAGCUCUAUCAGCAGGAAAGAAAAUGACGGUACCUGACUAAGAAGCCCCGGCUAACUACGUGCCAGCCGCCGCGGUAAUUC
Molecule: ribosomal RNA, 507 nt
Filed under: uncultured bacterium
Lineage: Bacteria
Description: bacterial SSU rRNA
Rfam family: Bacterial small subunit ribosomal RNA
Source: RNAcentral